UGCCCAAGAGAUCGGGAUAACACCUGGAAACAGAUGCUAAUACCGGAUAACAACAGAUGAUGCCUAUCAACUGUUUAAAAGAUGGUUCUGCUAUCACUCUUGGAUGGACCUGCGGUGCAUUAGCUAGUUGGUAGGGUAACGGCCUACCAAGGCGAUGAUGCAUAGCCGAGUUGAGAGACUGAUCGGCCACAUUGGGACUGAGACACGGCCCAAACUCCUACAGGAGGCAGCAGUC
Molecule: ribosomal RNA, 235 nt
Filed under: uncultured Lactobacillus sp.
Lineage: Bacteria; Bacillati; Bacillota; Bacilli; Lactobacillales; Lactobacillaceae
Description: partial 16S ribosomal RNA
Rfam family: Bacterial small subunit ribosomal RNA
Source: RNAcentral